This 301-nucleotide long non-coding RNA is filed under the name Nicotiana benthamiana. Its description in RNAcentral is "long non-coding RNA (NBEN_LNC022909)". Lineage: Eukaryota; Viridiplantae; Streptophyta; Magnoliopsida; Solanales; Solanaceae. The record is from RNAcentral.
UCUUUCUUAGAUGCAGAAACAACAACAUGUCGCUUUUUCUUCAUAACUGGCGCUGGUGUCACAAUAAACUGCAACUUUUGUGAAACACCAGUAUGCAGAAUAGUCGAAGAAGUCAUAUUCGAGGAGUUGAUAUACAUAGUAAAAGCUGAUUUUUUCCCUUGACCAAUUAGUUUACGUUCAGAGGUUUCGCUUAUGCUUGUUCUUGCACUGCUACUUCUACUGUUUGUGCUAUUACUGCGGGAAGACAAGAGUGAAUCUUUGCUACUAACACUGCUUGUUCUGCUCGUCGAACGUGAAAAUG